AGACGAACCGGGCGAACGUUAUUCGGAAUCACUGGGCUUAAAGCGUGCGUAGGCGGCUCGGCAAGUUGGGUGUGAAAGCCCUCGGCUCAACCGAGGAACUGCGCCCAAAACUGCCAGGCUUGAGGGAGAUAGAGGUGAGUGGAACUAAUGGUGGAGCGGUGAAAUGCUUUGAUAUCAUUAGGAACACCGGUGGCGAAAGCGGCUCACUGGGUCUCUUCUGACGCUGAGGCACGAAAGCUAGGGGAGCGAACGGGAUUAGAAACCCUUGUAGUCC
Molecule: ribosomal RNA, 274 nt
Filed under: uncultured bacterium
Lineage: Bacteria
Description: partial 16S ribosomal RNA
Rfam family: Bacterial small subunit ribosomal RNA
Source: RNAcentral